This 460-nucleotide ribosomal RNA is filed under the name uncultured Treponema sp. RNAcentral's name for it is "partial 16S ribosomal RNA". It matches the Rfam family "Bacterial small subunit ribosomal RNA", at positions 341 to 792 of the family's 1533-position model. The record is from RNAcentral. Lineage: Bacteria; Pseudomonadati; Spirochaetota; Spirochaetia; Treponematales; Treponemataceae.
ACGGAAGGCAGCAGCUAAGAAUAUUCCGCAAUGGACGAAAGUCUGACGGAGCGACGCCGCGUGGAUGAUGAAGGCCGGAAGGUUGUAAAAUCCUUUUAUAACUGAGGAAUAAGUAUUAUCAGAGAAAGGUAGUAUGGUGACUGUAGGUUAUGAAUAAGCAACGGCUAAUUACGUGCCAGCAGCCGCGGUAACACGUAAGUUGCGAGCGUUGUUCGGAAUUAUUGGGCGUAAAGGGCAUGUAGGCGGUUUUGCAAGCUUGGUGUGAAAUCCCGGAGCUCAACUCCGGAAUUGCGUUGAGAACUGCAUAACUAGAGUCACUGAGGGGCAAUCAGAAUUCCAGGUGUAGGGGUGAAAUCUGUAGAUAUCUGGAAGAACACCAAUGGCGAAGGCAGGCUUCUAUCACAUGACUGACGCUGAGGUGCGAAGGUGCGGGGAUCAAACAGGAUUAGAUACCCUGGUA